Vigna unguiculata (cowpea) is the source of this 1080-nucleotide long non-coding RNA. Lineage: Eukaryota; Viridiplantae; Streptophyta; Magnoliopsida; Fabales; Fabaceae. The record is from RefSeq and is a predicted model, not a curated record.
UCAUCACACAAUUUUUCAUAGUACAGACAUCAUUCAUGUACUGCAAAGUACAAAGCAUUCCCCCUUUGAUCAAAUAUAAGAAUGGAAUAGAAUCAUACAUGCAUUCAUGAGUGACUUUUGUGCUUAAUCUAGCUAGCAAAAUUUCUAAUGGGAGAAUAAUCUUUCUCAGAAUGAGACGCUGCUUAAUGUUAAGGAUGUCCACAACAAGGUCGAGGUGGUUGAAAAAGACUAGGAUGUUACUUGAGUUCUGUUUUGCAGGAAUGGACCAAAUUGAAAACAAAAACCAGAAGUGUCAUUAAAAGAUAAGGAAACUACAAAGAGUAGAAAGAUAAGAGAAUGAUUUUAUUGAAGAAAGAGAGAGAAGGGACUUACAUGGUGCUAUCUCUAUGAGACAAGCACAAGGAGUCAAUUGAGUUAACUAGGACACAUGUGUGAGCUUCUUCCACUCCCAGUUCAUGGUCCAGUUUUCCAGAUUCAAUGAGAUUUAAAUCCUCCAAAAGAAAUACAUAUUGUUCUUGAACUUCUCCUGCACUCUUUUCUCCUCCCACCAUGGCUGCCACAAUCUCCCACCGUUCUGGGUGGUUCUCAUCCACCACGGCCAAAGCCAGCUCAAACAACUUGUUCUCCUUCCAACUCCACCCACACAAACCCUUGGGAAAAUCAUCCACGUCGCUCGUUUUGGAUGUCAUCUUCACAGAACCAUGAGCAUUACCAUAAUUCAGUUACAUUAUGGAAGCGCCUGGGGCACUCAGAUGCCUGCAAUGACCACAAAAAUUGCCUUUUCUUUCGUGUUCUACAAAGGCUACAUGAGAUUAAUAAAACUCAAGCUAUGACGGUGAAAGGUUGAUUCUUAUGGCCGAAACAGAAAAAAGAUAACUAGAUAGAGACAAAAUGAGGUACCUCAAUGUUGAUUUCUUGCAAGAAUUAGCAUCUCCAUUUUAUUUUAUGUUAUUUUACUGUUUUUCCUAUUCAAAUUUCCUGCACUUGAAGUCGUGUGAUGGUAGCCGGCUUUAUGUGGAAAUUUAUAGCCAAUAACUGGAACAUGAAAGAAGAACGGUGACAAAUCUUCCGCAGUUUUUC